AUGAUAUUACUUUUGUGGUACGCAUGUCUAGUCCUUAUUCUCUCGGUCCUUUCGGUGCGGGGGAUCAUUCCAUACGGGCCGACGGAGGUGCAGCAACUGAGCCCGUGCAACUCGGUGGUCAAGCUCCCCUCCAAUUUCCAAUCGACGACCAUCUUCCAGCUGGACGCGCUCGACCGCCCCGCGCAGCCGGCCGCCGAGGACUUCAACGUCACCAGUUGCGCCUUCAUUUUCGAGGGCCCGCAAAACGCCACGCUCACCUUCCAGCUCUUCGGCGUCACCAUCAUGCGCGACCCCGACUUCCCGAACAACACGGCGCCCUGCUUGGCCACGCCCACCAAGUCAAAUAUCCAGCUCUACGAUUACACCGCUGACGGCAAUCUGCAAUUGAUUUCCAUAAAUUGUCAAAAUGAAACUUGGAGUGAGAGGAUUUCUACCACAAGCAAUAUUGGAGUGUUGACCAGCACCAUCAGUGGACAUUUUGCUCUCUCCGUCCAAAAAGUCUACGCUGCCCAGGAGCUGGGUGAACCAAUAUUGUCCCUACCAUUCAAGUAGUUCCCCUGAAUUCCCUUCUAUCCAUGAAAUGAGGCUCAGACGUUUUACAACCCCCACCAUUAUGCAGUUUUUUGAUACGCGCCCAGGAAAAAUGUGCGAACUACAAGUUUUCUAGCUAUUACUGAUCAUGAACAAUUUCCUAUAACUUAACUGUCUGCUUCCUUUAAUCUGAGCGUGUGCUUGGUGAGUUUACCGUAAUGUUUAACUGUAUCUUCUCCAAAUGAAAUAGGGGGGAAAAUUACUCUUGAAAAUGCAUUACUUGCUCAGGGCAACCCUGACGAUGAUUUAGGAGAGUCACAUUGAGUAGUUUGUUAAACUGGGCCCUGUUCACUCAGAACAUUACUCAUCCAUUAUCAUAACCUCAUGAUGCAGUACUUGGAACCAUGCCCAAUAGUAACAUUUACUCAAUGAAGAGUCAUUAACCGAAGAUAUUUUACAUUUUGUUAAGAAUUCAAAAUUUAAACUCAGAGUCCCACUCUUUGUGGUAUUGAUGAUCGUGAAGUAUUGAUAAUUGAUCCUUAUGGUUCCGUUUUUAAAAUAAUUUUCGAUUCGUUUCUUGACUUUUAUAGUUUACACUAGAAAUGUGUGCGCGUGUGUGCUUUUUUUUUAAAUAAAAAAUGAAAAGUAACUACAAAUUUUGUUUAACUUCCCCAAAAUAGUUUUUACAAUAAAGUCGAGGACCCACAAAAUUUUAAGAAAAAAUAUUCAUAAAUUUGCCAUAUUUAAAUAUUUUACGUGGGGAAAAUUCUGCAGUUUCCAAAUCCUCUGACAGCCUUUUCCGUUAUAUCGACAGAAUGAUCUAGUGUCGCUCUUUGCUUUUAACCAUUUACAUGCACUCAAAACCUAGCAUGUAUGAUCGAGUAUCUAGCCCACGGAUUUGGUCAAACCUCGUGUCAUUGGAGAAAAUUGGGUCGUGCGAGCGUACAUUCUGAAAAUCUCCUUGCAAAGAUCGAAUUUAAGUUCGAUGCACUCAAAAUUAUUGGCAGUUUAGAGUGAAUGUGACUCAAGGUUUAUAUUUUGCACAAUUAAACUGUGAAUCUCAAAGAUAUCCUUUAACUUGAGAAGUGAUUCGAAGAUUCUGAAAAGUGUUAAAACCUUCCUGUUUGAAUUGAAUGUACCAUCACGCUCGUUCUUGAAAUAAACUAAUAAAACUCCAGAUACUUUAUCGAUAGUAAAUGACUUAAAACUAGAGUGAAUCAAAGCUGACUUAAAGGUCCGUCAGUCAACUUUCGAAAUAAUGGCUUACCCGCGUGUGCCACUGCGCGCCGCGCCGCCUCCUAGACAAUGGGAAUUUUCAAAUCGCCUUCAAUUCGGCUCGAGGCAAAUUGCAUGACAGUUAGGUUACUCCUCACGGCGCGGUGAAACUUGAGAGAAGCACAUCGGAGCCGUGAAAUGUUAAGUGAUCAUGAUCGUCCCGAGUCCUGAGAGGUCACUUUGAAGUCCCAAUGAGCGUAGCGAGGUGAUAACAUCAAAUUUGUCAACUAAUGAGCUUUUGCUAAAAACUGCCUUGUCUAUAUAUAGUUAUCGCAUUUAAUUCAAAUGUCAAAUCCGGGAAUGCUCCUCCCAAUUUAAGGAGAUUUUGGUUUCAAAACGAUAAUAUCAUUCGAAAAUCUAGGGCUAAAGAAUGAUGCCGCCUAACUUACAAUUGGGUGUAUUCCUACCAAACGGAACUAUGUGCAUUAUGACGUGAGCCCUGUUAUGCGUAUAUUCUUAUGGGUCUCAGGGCUCAUGUCUCAAUGCACAUAGUAUUCCGUUUCACAGGAAUACGUCAAUUUUGGCGAAAAUGAGUUAGAGACUUUGCCCCAUUCUUCAGUAUUUAAUAUGCAAGCUGAUAUUUUCAGUUUUCCCCAAUUCUGUAUAAAAGUAUUGUAAAGACGCUGCAAUUUAUAAACGAAAAUGCAAAUCUAUAACCUCAAAAUUACAAAAUGGCAAAGUUUCUUCGAAGUUCCUGGAAAAUCGUCAGUUUGCAGGUAGGCGGUACUGUUUCUUAUAGCCAUCGAUAUUACUUUUGUAGUGUUGCAUGUUCUAUAUUUUUGAAGGAAGAAAUUUUGACUGAUUUUUUUUU
This 2617-nucleotide long non-coding RNA is filed under the name Bemisia tabaci. RNAcentral describes it as "lncRNA ENSASIAIIG001618". Lineage: Eukaryota; Metazoa; Arthropoda; Insecta; Hemiptera; Aleyrodidae. The record is from RNAcentral.